This 853-nucleotide long non-coding RNA is filed under the name Ananas comosus (pineapple). Its description in RNAcentral is "long non-coding RNA (ACOM_LNC042304)". The record is from RNAcentral. Lineage: Eukaryota; Viridiplantae; Streptophyta; Magnoliopsida; Poales; Bromeliaceae.
UCCGGAGUGCCGGCUUGUAGGGAGCGACCUUCACAAGCAUGUGCGAAUGAGCACAAUGGCAAGCAAGCGUAAAAGUCCGUCUCAAAUACCAAGUCCUCAUGUCAAAAAAAAAAAACAUGGAAUAUAUCUAGUAUCUCGAUGGCCUACCACUACGUCGUCAUGUCAAAAACAUGGAAUAAUAGCGGAUAUCCAAGUGGCCUAUCACUAUGUCUCUAUGUUGCAGUUUCAUAGUUUACUACUCUAAGUGCCCCUUUAUGACACUUUUGUUCAUUAUGUCAAAGCAUGAUGAUUAUGUUCAAGAGUACAUAAUUCUAAACAUUUUCCUCACAUGCAACAUGUUUUCCAACUUGGAAAAGAGAAUACUCUAAACAUGCAUGUACUAUACACAUAAUGCUCCACUAUGUAGAGAAGGAUUUUCAUAAUACGCAACACAUGCAUUUUAAGUAUUCAAAAAUUCACAUAAAUCCUAUCUAGCAUGGAAAUGCAUGCAAAAUGAUAAUACAACACAUAUUAACCACUUAGGAGGAAUUUCCCCCUAUUCACGUGAAGCCAAACCCACCAAAAGCUCCGCGCGAGCGUCCGAAACGCUAACGAAGCUUCGAUAAUCACUCCUAGCACCCUAAAAGAUAGGCUAGGGGAGUUACAACAUCGAAACGACAAUUCAUGAGUUCAAACAUUAAGCAACUCAAGGAAAGGGCUAAAAACUCAUCAAAAAUGGUGAAAAUCUCUUGUAGCACACUGGACCUGUGCAAAUUGCGAGGUUCGAAUGUUUGAUUUGGAUCCUGAACUUUUCCACACUUGGUGGAAGGUCGUAGAUGGUAUUCCGACCUAAAAGUUCGAUUUCUGGAGUUUU